This is a long non-coding RNA of Helianthus annuus (common sunflower), 332 nucleotides long. RefSeq lists it as uncharacterized. The record is from RefSeq and is a predicted model, not a curated record. Lineage: Eukaryota; Viridiplantae; Streptophyta; Magnoliopsida; Asterales; Asteraceae. The transcript is spliced from 4 exons.
UCUUUCACAUCCGCCCCAUUUCUUCUCUCUCUCUCUCUCUCACCAGGCGAUAACCCUUGAUCGAUGGAUUUCACUGCCGAAUUCACUGGAUCGACGGAUUUCACCUGCAAAUCCACAUCUCAGGGUUUUUUCUCCGGCUAUGACCCUAGAUCGAUGGUUUUUUCUGUCGAAUCCACAUCUCAGGGUUUCUUUCUCCAGCGAUGACCCUUGAGCGAUGGAUUUCACCGGCGUUUUCAAAUCUCAGGGUUUCUUUCUCCGGCGAUAACCCUAGAGAUAGAUGGAUUUCACCGGCGUUUUCACAUCUCAGGUACCAUCUUAUUAACCUUAUCGGC